GGGGGUGGGGGGGAUGGGGGGGUGGUCUCCUGAAAUAAUUGUUCCUUCCCCUUCCUUCUGCAGAUCACCUUAAAGGAUCCCGUGUGCACAUGAAUUUUGAAGCCCAACAUCUCUCUUAACCAGCUGCAAAUCUGCAGGUCUUGGUGCACAGCCUGUCUCCCAUGACUACUCCUGUCCAGUAGAUCAAGUGACACGCGCAGGCCCAGGAUCUUAAAAUAUUUUAUUAAUCUCAUUGUGCCUGACCUGUGUCACCAAGUGAAUAGUCUGUGCUUUGAUUCCCAAGCCUAAUUCAAACAGCAAAU
This 302-nucleotide long non-coding RNA is filed under the name Macaca mulatta (Rhesus monkey). Its description in RNAcentral is "lncRNA (ENSMMUG00000057383.1)". The record is from RNAcentral. Lineage: Eukaryota; Metazoa; Chordata; Mammalia; Primates; Cercopithecidae.